Molecule: ribosomal RNA, 495 nt
Filed under: uncultured prokaryote
Description: partial 16S ribosomal RNA
Source: RNAcentral
CUCGCGACUUCAAUCACACCCUCACUGACUACCUGAAUGACAAGAGCAUCAUCGGUGUCAUGCACAACGCCGAGGAUAUGAUUCUCGUCCCAUGCGACCUGGGCUUUCUGAGGUGCACCUUCGGCGACCGGUUGACGGUGUAUCCGCUGGGCGGCCAGUGAGGUAACCUCAAGUACCGCGUCAAUAGAAACGACGUGCUGGACUACUUCCGUGGCUGAGCCGAUCCUGAUGGUAUUGAUUCUUACCUUGCUGCUGGGACACUCACUGGGCACUGGCGGCCGACGAAUACGGCUUCAAAGGCCCACUGCAAAACCUGCAAUUCAAUCCGGGCUUGGACGAGCGUGAAUUUGAACGCGCCACGCUCAACGCGUUGAGCGUCUACGACCCCUUGGAGUCAUGGAACCGCCGCGUUUAUCACUUCAACUACCGCUUUGAUGAGUGGGUUUUUCUGCCGAUUGUCGUGUUAUUCGCACCAUCACCCCCAAUAGGUUCGAU